Molecule: ribosomal RNA, 422 nt
Filed under: uncultured bacterium
Lineage: Bacteria
Description: partial 16S ribosomal RNA
Rfam family: Bacterial small subunit ribosomal RNA
Source: RNAcentral
UGGGGAAUAUUGCACAAUGGGCGCAAGCCUGAUGCAGCAACGCCGCGUGAGGGAUGACGGCCUUCGGGUUGUAAACCUCUUUUAGUAGGGAAGAAGCGAAAGUGACGGUACCUGCAGAAAAAGCACCGGCUAACUACGUGCCAGCAGCCGCGGUAAUACGUAGGGUGCGAGCGUUGUCCGGAAUUAUUGGGCGUAAAGAGCUCGUAGGCGGUCUGUCGCGUCUGCUGUGAAAACCCCGAGGCUCAACCUCGGGCCUGCAGUGGGUACGGGCAGACUAGAGUGCGGUAGGGGAGAAUGGAAUUCCUGGUGUAGCGGUGGAAUGCGCAGAUAUCAGGAGGAACACCGAUGGCGAAGGCAGUUCUCUGGGCCGUAACUGACGCUGAGGAGCGAAAGCGUGGGGAGCGAACAGGAUUAGAUACCCU